This is a long non-coding RNA of Salvia miltiorrhiza (redroot sage), 393 nucleotides long. RefSeq lists it as uncharacterized. The record is from RefSeq and is a predicted model, not a curated record. Lineage: Eukaryota; Viridiplantae; Streptophyta; Magnoliopsida; Lamiales; Lamiaceae. The transcript is spliced from 3 exons.
AAGUAAUAGAGUGAAGAUUAUUCAUCUCAUUCAAUUCUUCUUCACAAUUGGCUUCUAAUCUAUGCCAUAUAUAAAAUCUGCAGAGACUAAUACCAUACACCUAUUCAAGGUUCAAAUAAACAAAAGCGUCUGAGUAACCUAUCGCGCUAAGGAAAGAGAAUCGUUGUCUUAAGUAGCAAAACACUGCAAUCAGGUUGAGCUGAUGUGAUGAUGGUGCUGCAAUGAGCGGAGUCUCCAGGGUUGUUAAUAAAUAGUUAACCUGUCUAGAAUAUGUCUUCAUACAUAUGUCUAGCUACUUUCCGCUGCAAGAUGUUGUUGAUGUUAUAGUAUGUUAUGUCAUACUUUGAGUCUUAAGAGAAUGGUUUCAUAUGAUGUAUAACUUGAUUAAUGAUA